RNAcentral lists this ribosomal RNA (966 nucleotides) under uncultured delta proteobacterium. RNAcentral's name for it is "bacterial SSU rRNA". It matches the Rfam family "Bacterial small subunit ribosomal RNA", at positions 8 to 945 of the family's 1533-position model. Lineage: Bacteria; Deltaproteobacteria. The record is from RNAcentral.
AGAGUUUGAUCAUGGCUCAGAACGAACGCUUGCGGCGUGCCUAACACAUGCAAGUCGAACGAGAAAAUCUUGCUUGCAAGAUGAGUAAAGUGGCGCACGGGUGAGUAACGCGUGGGUAAUCUACCUUUGGGGCAGGGAUAACACUCCGAAAGGGGUGCUAAUACCUGAUACGAUGCGAGCUUCACAAGGAGCUUGCAUGAAAGGUGACCUCUUCCUUGAAAGUUGCCGCUCGAAGAUGAGCCCGCGUCCCAUUAGCUUGUUGGUGGGGUAAUGGCCUACCAAGGCUCAGAUGGGUAGCUGGUCUGAGAGGAUGAUCAGCCACACUGGAACUGAGACACGGUCCAGACUCCUACGGGAGGCAGCAGUGGGGAAUAUUGCGCAAUGGGGGAAACCCUGACGCAGCAACGCCGCGUGAGUGAUGAAGGCCUUCGGGUCGUAAAGCUCUGUCAGGUGGGAAGAACAAGAGGAUCUCCAAUAAAGUUUCUCUUUGACGGUACCACCAGAGGAAGCACCGGCUAACUCCGUGCCAGCAGCCGCGGUAAUACGGAGGGUGCAAGCGUUGUUCGGAAUCACUGGGCGUAAAGCGCGUGCAGGCGGCCUAUUAAGUCAGAUGUGAAAGCCCUCGGCUCAACCAAGGAACUGCAUCUGAAACUGGUAGGCUUGAGUACGGGAGAGGAGAGUGGAAUUCCCGGUGUAGAGGUGAAAUUCGUAGAUAUCGGGAAGAACACCGGUGGCGAAGGCGGCUCUCUGGACCGAUACUGACGCUGAGACGCGAAAGCGUGGGGAGCAAACAGGAUUAGAUACCCUGGUAGUCCACGCUGUAAACGAUGGGCACUAGGUGUGGAGGGUAUUGACCCCUUCUGUGCCGGAGCUAACGCAUUAAGUGCCCCGCCUGGGAAGUACGGCCGCAAGGCUAAAACUCAAAGGAAUUGACGGGGGCCCGCACAAGCGGUGGAAGCAUGUGGU